CCUACGGGGGGCAGCAGUGGGGGAUAUUGCACAAUGGGGGGAACCCUGAUGCAGCGACGCCGCGUGGGUGAAGAAGCGCCUCGGCGCGUAAAGCCCUGUCAGCAGGGAAGAAAAUGACGGUACCUGAAGAAGAAGCCCCGGCUAACUACGUGCCAGCAGCCGCGGUAAUACGUAGGGGCCAAGCGUUAUCCGGAUUUACUGGGGGUAAAGGGGGCGCAGACGGCGAUGCAAGCCAGGAGUGAAAGCCGGGGGCCGAACCCCGGGACUGCUCUUGGAACUGCGUGGCUGGAGUGCAGGAGGGGCAGGCGGAAUUCCUGGUGUAGCGGUGAAAUGCGUAGAUAUCAGGAGGAACACCGGUGGCGAAGGCGGCCUGCUGGACUGCAACUGACGUUGAGGCCCGAAAGCGUGGGGAGCAAACAGGAUUAGAUACCCCUGUAGUC
RNAcentral lists this ribosomal RNA (440 nucleotides) under uncultured bacterium. RNAcentral describes it as "partial 16S ribosomal RNA". It matches the Rfam family "Bacterial small subunit ribosomal RNA", at positions 338 to 795 of the family's 1533-position model. The record is from RNAcentral.